GGGAGAUUCUGAAUUUUCUUUGUUAGUUUUUGUUUUCUGUGUUAAUUUUUUUUUUUUUGUUUUCUAGGUAGUUGUUAUUGUGUUUUGUGUACAGUUUUGCAUGUUUCUCUUGAUUUCUGGACUUGGUUUCACUAGUAAAAAAUUGGGAUUAUACAGCGUACAUUAUGCCACGGUUCAUCAGAAAUUGCAGCAUAAUGCUGCGCGGUGGCAGUUUUGUAAAUAAAUUGAACUUAUAUGUCGCGGUUCCCCACUUAACCGCGGCAUAUACCCCAGUCAACCAUCACCUUUGACGCCACG
Molecule: long non-coding RNA, 297 nt
Filed under: Vigna radiata
Lineage: Eukaryota; Viridiplantae; Streptophyta; Magnoliopsida; Fabales; Fabaceae
Description: long non-coding RNA (VRAD_LNC001912)
Source: RNAcentral